AGGGCGCACGGUGGAUGCCUUGACACUAGGAGUCGAUGAAGGACGGGACUAACGCCGAUAUGCUUCGGGGAGCUGUAAGUAAGCUUUGAUCCGAAGAUUUCCGAAUGGGGAAACCCACCAUACGUAAUGGUAUGGUAUCCUUAUCUGAAUACAUAGGUAAGGAAGACAGACCCAGGGAACUGAAACAUCUAAGUACCUGGAGGAAGAGAAAGCAAAUGCGAUUUCCUGAGUAGCGGCGAGCGAAACGGAACAUAGCCCAAACCAAGAGGCUUGCCUCUUGGGGUUGUAGGACAUUCUAUACGGAGUUACAAAGGAACGAGGUAGACGAAGCGACCUGGAAAGGUCCGUCGUAGAGGGUAACAACCCCGUAGUCGAAACUUCGUUCUCUCUUGAAUGUAUCCUGAGUACGGCGGAACACGUGAAAUUCCGUCGGAAUCUGGGAGGACCAUCUCCCAAGGCUAAAUACUCCCUAGUGAUCGAUAGUGAACCAGUACCGUGAGGGAAAGGUGAAAAGCACCCCGGAAGGGGAGUGAAAGAGAUCCUGAAACCGUGUGCCUACAAAUAGUCAGAGCCCGUUAAGGGUGAUGGCGUGCCUUUUGUAGAAUGAACCGGCGAGUUACGAUCCCGUGCGAGGUUAAGCUGAAGAGGCGGAGCCGCAGCGAAAGCGAGUCUGAAUAGGGCGUUUAGUACGUGGUCGUAGACCCGAAACCAGGUGAUCUACCCAUGUCCAGGGUGAAGUUCAGGUAACACUGAAUGGAGGCCCGAACCCACGCACGUUGAAAAGUGCGGGGAUGAGGUGUGGGUAGCGGAGAAAUUCCAAUCGAACCUGGAGAUAGCUGGUUCUCCCCGAAAUAGCUUUAGGGCUAGCCUUAAGUGUAAGAGUCUUGGAGGUAGAGCACUGAUUGGACUAGGGGUCCUCAUCGGAUUACCGAAUUCAGUCAAACUCCGAAUGCCAAUGACUUAUCCUUAGGAGUCAGACUGCGAGUGAUAAGAUCCGUAGUCAAAAGGGAAACAGCCCAGACCGCCAGCUAAGGUCCCAAAGUGUGUAUUAAGUGGAAAAGGAUGUGGAGUUGCUUAGACAACUAGGAUGUUGGCUUAGAAGCAGCCACCAUUUAAAGAGUGCGUAAUAGCUCACUAGUCGAGUGACUCUGCGCCGAAAAUGUACCGGGGCUAAAUACACCACCGAAGCUGCGGAUUGAUACCAAUGGUAUCAGUGGUAGGGGAGCGUUCUAAGGACAGUGAAGUCAGACCGGAAGGACUGGUGGAGUGCUUAGAAGUGAGAAUGCCGGUAUGAGUAGCGAAAGACGGGUGAGAAUCCCGUCCACCGAAUGCCUAAGGUUUCCUGAGGAAGGCUCGUCCGCUCAGGGUUAGUCAGGACCUAAGCCGAGGCCGACAGGCGUAGGCGAUGGACAACAGGUUGAUAUUCCUGUACCACCUCUUUAUCGUUUGAGCAAUGGAGGGACGCAGAAGGAUAGAAGAAGCGUGCGAUUGGUUGUGCACGUCCAAGCAGUUAGGCUGAUAAGUAGGCAAAUCCGCUUAUCGUGAAGGCUGAGCUGUGAUGGGGAAGCUCCUUAUGGAGCGAAGUCUUUGAUUCCCCGCUGCCAAGAAAAGCUUCUAGCGAGAUAAAAGGUGCCUGUACCGCAAACCGACACAGGUAGGCGAGGAGAGAAUCCUAAGGUGUGCGAGAGAACUCUGGUUAAGGAACUCGGCAAAAUGACCCCGUAACUUCGGGAGAAGGGGUGCUUUCUUAACGGAAAGCCGCAGUGAAUAGGCCCAAGCGACUGUUUAGCAAAAACACAGCUCUCUGCGAAGCCGUAAGGCGAAGUAUAGGGGGUGACACCUGCCCGGUGCUGGAAGGUUAAGGAGAGGGGUUAGCGUAAGCGAAGCUCUGAACUGAAGCCCCAGUAAACGGCGGCCGUAACUAUAACGGUCCUAAGGUAGCGAAAUUCCUUGUCGGGUAAGUUCCGACCCGCACGAAAGGUGUAACGAUUUGGGCACUGUCUCAACCAGAGACUCGGUGAAAUUAUAGUACCUGUGAAGAUGCAGGUUACCCGCGACAGGACGGAAAGACCCCGUGGAGCUUUACUGUAGCCUGAUAUUGAAUUUUGGUACAGUUUGUACAGGAUAGGCGGGAGCCUUUGAAACCGGAGCGCUAGCUUCGGUGGAGGCGCUGGUGGGAUACCGCCCUGACUGUAUUGAAAUUCUAACCUACGGGUCUUAUCGACCCGGGAGACAGUGUCAGGUGGGCAGUUUGACUGGGGCGGUCGCCUCCUAAAGUGUAACGGAGGCGCCCAAAGGUUCCCUCAGAAUGGUUGGAAAUCAUUCGUAGAGUGCAAAGGCAUAAGGGAGCUUGACUGCGAGACCUACAAGUCGAGCAGGGACGAAAGUCGGGCUUAGUGAUCCGGUGGUUCCGCAUGGAAGGGCCAUCGCUCAACGGAUAAAAGCUACCCCGGGGAUAACAGGCUUAUCUCCCCCAAGAGUCCACAUCGACGGGGAGGUUUGGCACCUCGAUGUCGGCUCAUCGCAUCCUGGGGCUGUAGUCGGUCCCAAGGGUUGGGCUGUUCGCCCAUUAAAGCGGUACGCGAGCUGGGUUCAGAACGUCGUGAGACAGUUCGGUCCCUAUCCGUCGUGGGCGUAGGAAAUUUGAGAGGAGCUGUCCUUAGUACGAGAGGACCGGGAUGGACGCACCGCUGGUGUACCAGUUGUUCUGCCAAGGGCAUAGCUGGGUAGCUAUGUGCGGAAGGGAUAAGUGCUGAAAGCAUCUAAGCAUGAAGCCCCCCUCAAGAUGAGAUUUCCCAUAGCGUAAGCUAGAAGAUCCCUGAAAGAUGAUCAGGUUGA
Molecule: ribosomal RNA, 2838 nt
Filed under: Bacillus anthracis (anthrax bacterium)
Lineage: Bacteria; Bacillati; Bacillota; Bacilli; Caryophanales; Bacillaceae
Description: bacterial LSU rRNA
Rfam family: Bacterial large subunit ribosomal RNA
Source: RNAcentral